RNAcentral lists this unclassified non-coding RNA (355 nucleotides) under Hevea brasiliensis (rubber tree). Lineage: Eukaryota; Viridiplantae; Streptophyta; Magnoliopsida; Malpighiales; Euphorbiaceae. The record is from RNAcentral.
AUUUUCCCGAUGUCCUUUUCCAGCAUAUAUUCAGGCCUAGCAAUUAGAACAAAGCCUAAUGCCUGCAAAGACCCGACUUUUAUACCGAAAUCCUCCAUGCGGAGAUACUUUUUAAACAAGGUGAGGUUGCUGACAACAUCAAAAUUCCUCAGCAAUGAAUUCCCAUAGCGAAUAAGCAAUCCAAGACAAAACAGAGAACGGCACACUAGCUGCUUGUUUUCAGUUCCCAGAGCAUCCAGACGUUUGAAGAAUACCUGAAUAAGAUACUCAACAAUAGCAGCACCCUUUCCUGCUACUCUACUCAAAGAGCAAAGACACUUGAUGCAAGCAUGGACAACUGUUAAAAAUGAAUGCC